CAAAAUCGGCGCUGGUGUGGAGAUGAGCCCUGCCUUGGGGACCACUGACCCGACCACGUCCCAAAGAUCAUUAACAUGGAUUCCAGGAAAUGAAAACUCUCGCUCUGCUGCCCAGACUCGGAUGGUGUGAUAACAGCUCACUGCAGCCUCAACCUCCUGGGAUCAAACAAUCCUCCUGCUUCAGCCUUCUGAGUAGCUAGGACUACAGACAGUUUCGCUUAUUGCCCAGGCUGGAGUGUAAUGGCACAAUCUCGGUUCACUGCAACCUCCGCCUCCCGGGUUCAAGCGAUUCUCCUGCCUCAGCCUCCUGAGAAGCUGAGAUUACAGGUUUUUGCUUUUGCCAAUCCCCUCCCUCACAUGCCUUGAAACAAGCACUUUCAAAGACAAAGACAUAAACAACAAAAGGGUGCAGGCUGAGGUGGGUCAUCUUCUCUGCCUGCGUCUCCAACUCUGGAUCCUGCAGUUACUGGACUCAGGCCAUGGCUGACUCCUUCAUCACAGCUAAGAUGCUGCUGGGUUUAAGGCACUGUGACUUUCUGUGCCACUAAGACCGACAAAAAGCUGCCAAGUGAACGAUGACACAAAGAAAGACACAAACUGUGGGACCCAGCCCAACUUCAGAGCUGCUAAAAUGUGAACAAAAAUGCAUCCCGGAAUGGAUGGAAACCGAUCAUUCUAGUUGGUGUGACCUGCUCCAGUGCCUACAGUACGUGUCCUGACAGCGUGGGAGGGGAUAUGAAGGCCCCCCAGUCAAACAGGAGACAGCGUUAGUCUCCAAACUUAACUUUGUUAUCUCUUUCCCUCCUGGGGCCCAAUACCCGCCAGCCAGGACCUGUUUCUCCUCCAUCUCACAUUCUUUCCAGGUUCAGGACUGAAGUCGUCUUGUUCAGCUCCUUGACUUGGCCAUGCUCACUCUACAAUGCAGCCCAUGGAUGGCGCCCCCUCUGCCCAGCACAUCCCUCUGCCUGGGCUCUUGUCUCCCCGAAUCCUGCAAACCCCAGCCCCAGCCUUUAGCGUUCAGCCGCCCUCCCCGCUUCCCUCAUCCUCCCUCGCGUCCUCGCAGUGAGAUUUCAACAUGUCAUCUCAGUUUUUUUGUUCUUUUACUUUCCUGACUACAAGAAAAAUA
This 1126-nucleotide long non-coding RNA is filed under the name Homo sapiens (human). RNAcentral's name for it is "HSALNT0304345". Lineage: Eukaryota; Metazoa; Chordata; Mammalia; Primates; Hominidae. The record is from RNAcentral.